CAGUCAUGUUUCAGAAAACAAAAUAAAACAAUAUAUGGCAGUGUAUUAUAAUGAACAUUUGUUAUUCUAGAAUUAAUAGGAAAAACAUCUCCAAGACUGAACCUGAAGAAAAUAAGAAUUUGCAUAGGAUAGCUGGUGAGUUGAUACAGGCAUGAUUUGCCAAUUUCCAGACUGCAAUUCACAGUCUCCAUUACAGCAUUUCAUGUUAUCUAGCCAAACUAUUGUUUCACAUUGAACAUAAUAUCCCCUAUUAGAUGCUCUAAUCUCUUUGAUGAAUUGCCAAGUACAUGUAUGACUAAAAGAAAGUGGCUGGAUAGAGGUUCUGAGACGCACAUCUAACUCAAUGUUGACAAAAACCUCUGCUUGCUCUUCAUAUGCACUGCAAAAAUUAAUGCAUAGAGGCAGAAAAAGAAAUUUGCAAUGACUAGAGAGAUUAUCAAAUCAAAGCCAUGAUUAAGUUAUCGUCAACAAUGUAGAUAUUGACUCUUUUCAAGGGUGGUUUUGCAGGCAUGUUGAUUUACUCACACAUAUAGAGCAGAAAAUUGUCAAGUACGAAUAAAACCUUGGCAUACAAGAUGUCUGAGCAGCAUACCCAUAUAUUUUCUUUUGAAGGCCUCUCUCCAAUCAAUACUGGUUCUUCCAUCUGAAUUCUCCAGCAAAAGAGUGAACUCCUUAUUUUCACCCUGCCCUCCAUUCUGCUACAAAGUGCAAUGCUUGGCACCAAAAAAUAUAGUAUAGUGGGAGUGCCACAGCUGGUUAUUACUAGCUGCGAAAUUCCAUGAACCUUGCAUGAGGCAACCAGAAAAGCAUUAAUACCAAGAGAAUAUGUUAUGCAUUAGGACAUACUUACGGCUGUAACUUGUCAUCAGGAGAAAAAAUCAAUUAGGAGAAUGGUCUGACUAGUUUGUGUGAUGCUAAUUUGUUUGUGGUACUGAAGCAGGUAAAAUAGUUGCUACAAUUGAAGAAAAUGACAAUUAACAACUGACUAGGCUGUCAGAAACUAAAGAAUGGAUAUCCAAGAAGCUGAAGAUGUGUACUAGAACAUCCUGUGGCAAUUCAGUCGCAGCAGAAGUUUCUUCCUCCUGAUGAGGUUUACAAAGCCUCUUAUGGGCAACCUUUGAUUGUUUAAAUUCAGUAAAAGCCAAAAUUUUUCUCUGUUUAGGCAAUACCGCCUCUGCGCUCUUGCAUAGAAGAUGGGCUGCUGAAAAAGCGCUGCGUGUCUGUCUGCAUUCUAAAGGGAAACAAAAGAAAUUGGUACUAUUUAAAUUUACCAAAACAGGUGAUUUGGACAACUAUUUUCACUCAAUUAUUACUAACCAAAUACAUCACAUUGGAUUCUGGAACAAGGGGUGAAAAUUCAUGUUCAGCCUUCAUUCCCAAUAUCUAAAUCAUCGGACUUCGAUUCAAAUUCGAAGCAUAAAUUCAAUUAAUUGCGAGGAUCAGGAAUCGUAUUCAACGAAGUCAUCUUUACUACGAAUUGGGUAGACAAAAUUCACAAAGGAUAGCGGUGAAGAUAACAGGUAAAUCACAUGAUAUACAGAGACGAAGGCGACUUACUCAGGAAGGAGACGAAAAGCGGCGAGGGUGUCUUGGAAAACGACUGAUUGAAGAUUCUCAGGGAGUUUGUGAUAAGCUUCUCUGAGAAUCAAGCUGAGAUCUUUGCAGGCAACUGAGUAACGGUGGUUUCUUGACAAAGCUUCCUUAAACGCUAGCUUUUGAUAACUUUCAAUUGAAUUUGACAUAUUCGAACAGCAAUGGAAAGAGGUGAGAAGGGGAAAGGUCACCCUACAGACGUUUUAAUCAAAAUAGCCAUGUUAGUGAAUAAAAUAAAAAAUAAAAAAUAAUUAUAAAAAAACUGAAUUUUCUCAAGAGGGUUG
RNAcentral lists this unclassified non-coding RNA (1877 nucleotides) under Hevea brasiliensis (rubber tree). The record is from RNAcentral. Lineage: Eukaryota; Viridiplantae; Streptophyta; Magnoliopsida; Malpighiales; Euphorbiaceae.